Molecule: ribosomal RNA, 300 nt
Filed under: uncultured bacterium
Lineage: Bacteria
Description: bacterial SSU rRNA
Rfam family: Bacterial small subunit ribosomal RNA
Source: RNAcentral
UCCAUGCCGUAAACGAUGCCCGCUAGAUAGUCGUCCCGCCGAACGCAUAAUUGAUUUAUGCGCUGGGCGGGAUGGCUGUCGUAAGGUAACCCGUUAAGCGGGCCGCCUGGGUAGUACAUUCGCAAGAAUAAAACUCAAAGGAAUUGACGGGGAACCGCACAAGCGGUGGAGCGCGUGGUUUAAUUGGAUGAUAAGCCAAGAACCUUACCGGGGUUUGACAUCCCGCUGCAAUCUCGAUGAAAGUCGGGAGGCCUUUUAAGGGUGCGGGACAGGUGUUGCACGGCUGUCGUCAGCUCGUGU